UGGCUAGUUAAAUAAGUCGUCGAUUAAUUCAAUUUAUUGAGGAUCUUGCGGUCAGAGAUGCUGAUAGAUACUCAGAUGAUUUGCUGGUCAUUUCUGCUGGA
Non-coding RNA from Prunus avium (sweet cherry), 101 nucleotides. Lineage: Eukaryota; Viridiplantae; Streptophyta; Magnoliopsida; Rosales; Rosaceae. The record is from RefSeq and is a predicted model, not a curated record.